CACUUGUAACACUCAGGCCAAAAGGCAGUAGGAGUGAGUUACUAAGGACUUGCUGGUAAGGGUGAACAAAAUCAAAUCCAACACAUUUUGUGUAUCAAAACACUCUUGGGCAAAGGCAUGUGUGGUGGCUCAAGUCUGGAGUGCUAGCUACUCAGGAUGGUGAGACAGGAGGAUCACAAAUUUGAAGACAAACGGGGAAACUUAGUGAGACUCUGUUUUCAAAAUAAAAUAAAAAUGAUCUGGGGGUAUUGUCAGUGCUCCAUGGCUUCAAUCGCCAUUUUUUUUUUUUAAAUACUGACAGGCAAAAUCUGCAUGAGUCAAAAUCAACAUACUGGGAUGUCUCUAUAGCAUUUCUUGCCACAGAGCAGAACCUGUCACUAGGAAGAUCUUGGGUUAAAAGCAGAAACAUAAACAAAGAACAACAAUAACAAAAAGCUCUUCAUUGUGGGUCCUUUCACUGUACAGCAUAUUCUAUGGCAGCAGAAAAACAGAAAUCUAUGUUUUCUUUCUAGCACCUUUCUUCUUGUGAGAUCAGGAGAGAGUAUCUUUACAUCUUACAAUUCACGUGGUGUGCGAGGUCUUUCAAAGCAUUUUCUGAAACAGUUUUAUUUAAUCAUCACAAUCAUAUUGUGAAGAAAGGUGUUUUUGUACAUGGGAAGCUGAAGGUAAGUGACACGUCAGGUCGUGAGCUCCACUGCCUGUUGGGCCUUCCUACCCUGACCCCACAGUGUUGACAACCAUGUACUUCACCCUGUAUUUAGAACUUCCCUUGGGGGGGGCUCUGUCAGAUGGGAUCUUCCCUUAUUCAGGGGCAACUGAUGCUGAGUCUCUAUUCAAGUUGCACCAAAAAUUUGGGUUGCUCCCAAAAUCCUGGGGGAAAUGAUGUUUCCUCUAAGGAGGAAACAGGGUGGGGGCUGUUAGUCAGACCUCACAUCAUUUGCACCGGGUGAUGGGCGUCUUUGAAGUUGACCAGCCCCACUGUAGGUGGGUGGAGGGUGCAGAUCCCUUCCAUUCCUUUCUCUACUGCGUCUCCUUUUGUCUUUUGUGCAAGUCCAUUUCACAAAGUAGAGAAAUACGACCAGUGGAGUGUGGUGAUUCACAAGUCAAUGGCAAGGGUUUGCUUUGCCUAUUUGAAGGGUUUCUUUCUGAGCCUGAGAAGAUCGGUGAACGGUGGUAGCUAGUGUUCUCCACAGUGUAUGCUGAAACCUUCAUCAAAGGAGCUUGCAAAGCAGAAGCCGAGACCCUACUUAAGAAGAAGGGCAGUUAUUAAUGCCCAGAUGUGAAAGCAUACAUUGGAGAUUUUUAUUCUAGUUGUUUUUGAUGAAAAUAAGUCCCCAUGUAUUUACACAAGUGGUCUCCUGGAAAUUAUAAUUGUCUAGGGUAAGAUGGUAUAAAUAUUCUAAGAUGGAUUAAAAAAAAAGGGUUUCCCAGCAAUAGAAUAAUUACCUUUCCAGUACAACAAGCAAACUUCUAAAAGGGUAAUAGGAAUUGAGGAUUAUGCAUCUGAUUAUAUGAAGAAGGACA
Molecule: long non-coding RNA, 1524 nt
Filed under: Fukomys damarensis (Damara mole-rat)
Lineage: Eukaryota; Metazoa; Chordata; Mammalia; Rodentia; Bathyergidae
Description: lncRNA (ENSFDAG00000029781.1)
Source: RNAcentral